CAAAGAGAUUCUGGACGUCGCGGAUCGUCAGGAUGCUGACGUGCGUCGUACCGCCAACGGGCGCAUACAAGAAACCAUUAACGUCAACUUGCGUGCCUGAAAAAAAUAACAAAACGCCUUGAACGUUUUGAAGUGAUGUACGGAGUUUAAGAGCAAUGAAGUUACCGAUUUAUCUGGAUUAUUC
This 184-nucleotide small RNA is filed under the name Dickeya dadantii 3937. RNAcentral describes it as "IscS-1 ICR thermometer". It matches the Rfam family "IscS-1 ICR thermometer". From Rfam's summary of the family: Imprinting control region from upstream of iscS-1 (cysteine desulfurase). Lineage: Bacteria; Pseudomonadati; Pseudomonadota; Gammaproteobacteria; Enterobacterales; Pectobacteriaceae. The record is from Rfam by way of RNAcentral.